Molecule: ribosomal RNA, 421 nt
Filed under: uncultured archaeon
Lineage: Archaea
Description: partial 16S ribosomal RNA
Rfam family: Archaeal small subunit ribosomal RNA
Source: RNAcentral
CUACGGGGGGCUGCAGUUAAGAAUUUUCUGCAAUGCGCGAAAGCGUGACAGAGUGAAUCAGAGUGCUUUUCAAUCGAAAAGCUUUUGCUUAGUGUAAAAAACUAGGCGAAUAAGGACUGGGUAAGACGAGUGCCAGCCGCCGCGGUAAUACUCGCGGUCCAAGUCGCAGCCAUUUUUAUUAGGUCUAAAACAUCCGUAGCUUGCUUGAUAAGUUUUUUGUGAAAUCCCAUGUCUCAAGCAUGGGGUGUGCAGAAAGUACUAUUGAGCUAGAGACUGGAAGACGUGAGGAGUACAAUCGAGGUAGUGGUAAAAUAUUUUAAUCUUGGUUGGACUAACAAGAGCGAAGGCACCUCACGAGGACAGUUCUGACAGUAAGGGAUGAAGGCCAGGGGCGCAAAACGGAUUAGAUACCCGGGUAGUC